This 461-nucleotide ribosomal RNA is filed under the name uncultured bacterium. RNAcentral describes it as "bacterial SSU rRNA". It matches the Rfam family "Bacterial small subunit ribosomal RNA", at positions 774 to 1237 of the family's 1533-position model. The record is from RNAcentral.
AGAAAAUAGAUACCCUGGUAGUCCAUGCCGUAAACGUUGGGAACUAGGUGUGGGUCUCAUUCCACGAGAUCCGUGCCGCAGCUAACGCAUUAAGUUCCCCGCCUGGGGAGUACGGCCGCAAGGCUAAAACUCAAAGGAAUUGACGGGGGCCCGCACAAGCGGCGGAGCAUGCGGAUUAAUUCGAUGCAACGCGAAGAACCUUACCAAGGCUUGACAUACACCGGAAACAUUCAGAGAUGGGUGCCCGCAAGGUCGGUGUACAGGUGGUGCAUGGUUGUCGUCAGCUCGCGUCGUGAGAUGUUGGGUUAAGUCCCGCAACGAGCGCAACCCUCGUUCUAUGUUGCCAGCACGUGAUGGUGGGGACUCAUAGGAGACUGCCGGGGUCAACUCGGAGGAGUGGGGAUGACGUCAAAUCAUCAUGCCCCUUAUGUCUUGGGCUUCACGCACGCUACAAUGGCCGG